RNAcentral lists this ribosomal RNA (460 nucleotides) under uncultured bacterium. RNAcentral describes it as "SSU rRNA". It matches the Rfam family "Bacterial small subunit ribosomal RNA", at positions 26 to 518 of the family's 1533-position model. The record is from RNAcentral.
AGAAUCAACGCUGGCGGCGUGCCUAACACAUGCAAGUCGAACGAGAAAGGGUAGCAAUACCUGAGUAAAGUGGCGCACGGGUGAGUAACACGUGACUAACCUACCCUGGAGUGGGGGAUAACUGAGGGAAACCUUAGCUAAUACCGCAUAACACCUACGGGUCAAAGGAGCAAUUCGCUUCAGGAGGGGGUCGCGGCCGAUUAGUUAGUUGGCGGGGUAAUGGCCCACCAAGACAGUGAUCGGUAUCCGGCCUGAGAGGGCGCACGGACACACUGGAACUGAAACACGGUCCAGACUCCUACGGGAGGCAGCAGUGGGGAAUUUUGCGCAAUGGGGGAAACCCUGACGCAGCAACGCCGCGUGGAGGAUGAAGUCCUUCGGGACGUAAACUCCUUUCGAUCGGGACGAUAAUGACGGUACCGGAAGAAGAAGCCCCGGCUAACUUCGCGCCAGCAGCCGC